This 379-nucleotide unclassified non-coding RNA is filed under the name soil metagenome. RNAcentral describes it as "partial contains 5.8S ribosomal RNA, internal transcribed spacer 2, and large subunit ribosomal RNA". The stretch from base 1 to 120 matches the Rfam family "5.8S ribosomal RNA", at positions 35 to 154 of the family's 154-position model. The record is from RNAcentral.
GAUGAAGAACGUAGUGAAAUGCGAUAAGUAAUGUGAAUUGCAGAAUUCAGUGAAUCAUCGAAUCUUUGAACGCACCUUGCACCCUUUGGCAUUCCGAAGGGUAUGCUCGUUUGAGUGUCAUUGUACUCUCACACUUCCGAUCUUUGGAUUGGGAGCGGUGGACUUGGGUGUUGCUGCUUACUGUGGCUCACCUCAAAUCGAUUCGUGCACCUCUUGGUUGGACAUAGUACGGCGUGAUAAGUGUCUUCGCCGGCACCUCAGUAGAGGGUGGCUGAUCGGGAGCUCUGUGCUUCAAACCGUCCUCGGACAACAACUGACAACUUGACCUCAAAUCGAGUAGGACUACCCGCUGAACUUAAGCAUAUCAAUAAGCGGAGGA